CACGGAGUUAGCCGAUCCUUAUUCUUACGGUACCGUCAAGACUCUACACGUAGAGUUGUUUCUUCCCGUACAAAAGCAGUUUACAAUCCAUAGGACCGUCAUCCUGCACGCGGCAUGGCUGGUUCAGGCUUGCGCCCAUUGACCAAUAUUCCUCACUGCUGCCUCCCGUAGGAGUCUGGUCCGUGUCUCAGUACCAGUGUGGGGGAUCUCCCUCUCAGGACCCCUACCCAUCGUUGCCUUGGUAAGCCGUUACCUUACCAACUAGCUAAUGGGACGCAUGCUCAUCUUUCACCGUUGUGACUUUAAUAUGAUCUCGAUGCCAAGUUCAUAUACUAUGAGGUAUUAAUCCAAAUUUCUCUGGGCUAUCCCUCUGUGAAAGGUAGAUUGCAUACGCGUUACGCACCCGUGCGCCGGUCUCUAAAUCCGAAGACUUAUACCCCUCGACUUGCAUGUGUUAAGCCUGCCGCUAGCGUUCAUCCUGAGCCAGGAUCAAACU
RNAcentral lists this ribosomal RNA (496 nucleotides) under uncultured Flavobacterium sp. RNAcentral describes it as "partial 16S ribosomal RNA". The record is from RNAcentral. Lineage: Bacteria; Pseudomonadati; Bacteroidota; Flavobacteriia; Flavobacteriales; Flavobacteriaceae.